Molecule: transfer RNA, 76 nt
Filed under: Clostridia bacterium
Lineage: Bacteria; Bacillati; Bacillota; Clostridia
Description: tRNA-Val
Rfam family: tRNA
About the family: Transfer RNA (tRNA) molecules are approximately 80 nucleotides in length.
Source: RNAcentral
GGGCGAUUAGCUCAGAGGCGAGAGCACUUGCCUUACAAGCAAGGGGUCGGUGGUUCAAAUCCACCAUCGCCCACCA